GGCCUACUGGGCUUUAACUGACGCUCAGGCACGAAAGCAUGGGUAGCAAACAGGAUUAGAUACCCUGGUAGUCCAUGCCGUAAACGAUGAUUACUAGGUGUGGGGGGACUGACCCCCUCCGUGCCGCAGUUAACACAAUAAGUAAUCCACCUGGGGAGUACGGCCGCAAGGUUGAAACUCAAAGGAAUUGACGGGGGCCCGCACAAGCAGUGGAGUAUGUGGUUUAAUUCGAAGCAACGCGAAGAACCUUACCGGGGCUUGACAUCCUGAGAAUCUGCCAGAGAUGGCGGAGUGCCCUUCGGGGAAUUCAGAGACAGGUGGUGCAUGGUUGUCGUCAGCUCGUGUCGUGAGAUAUUGGGUUAAGUCCCGCAACGAGCGCAACCCUUGCUUUUAGUUGCUACGCAAGAGCACUCUAGAAGGACUGCCGUUGACAAAACGGAGGAAGGUGGGGACGACGUCAAAUCAUCAUGCCCCUUAUGUCCCGGGCUACACACGUACUACAAUGGCCGUCAACAGAGGGAAGCAAAGGAGCGAUCCGGAGCAAACCCCUAAAAACGGUCCCAGUUCAGAUUGCAGGCUGCAACUCGCCUGUAUGAAGUUG
Molecule: ribosomal RNA, 601 nt
Filed under: uncultured bacterium
Lineage: Bacteria
Description: bacterial SSU rRNA
Rfam family: Bacterial small subunit ribosomal RNA
Source: RNAcentral